Molecule: long non-coding RNA, 379 nt
Organism: Vespa mandarinia (Asian giant hornet)
Lineage: Eukaryota; Metazoa; Arthropoda; Insecta; Hymenoptera; Vespidae
Source: RefSeq, a predicted model, not a curated record
GUUCAUUCGAGUCAACAUCGUGAGCUACAGGAAUGGGAGAACGGAGCAAAGUUUGCUCCGGCGACUUUCGUUGCGCUCGAAAGUACUCCGUGCGAAUUGUUCGGAAGCUGGCAAUCUGCCCGACACCUGUCAGAACCGAGGUUCUGACUGUUUUCUUCAUCAUCCGUAAUAAGUUUCAACCAAUAUAACGAUCGUCGGGCUACUGCUCCUUAUAAUACAAUAAGCAAUUACGAACAGAAAGGUGGAACGGUUAUUUCAUCCAACUCGAUGAAUGUACUUGUCAAAUAUUCUCGGACAACCGUUACAUACGUUGUUUUACAAGAACGAGCUCAUCAAAUUCAUUUCGUAAAUGGCAUUCUAUCGAUAGACACGAUGCGGG